GGACCCCUAGCUCAGUGGUUAGAGCAGCAGACUCAUAAUCUGUUGGUCCUGGGUUCAAGUCCCAGGGGGUCCACCA
This 76-nucleotide transfer RNA is filed under the name Bacillota bacterium. RNAcentral describes it as "Firmicutes bacterium (anaerobic digester metagenome) tRNA-Ile". It matches the Rfam family "tRNA". Rfam says of the family: Transfer RNA (tRNA) molecules are approximately 80 nucleotides in length. Their secondary structure includes four short double-helical elements and three loops (D, anti-codon, and T loops). Lineage: Bacteria; Bacillati; Bacillota. The record is from RNAcentral.